This 350-nucleotide unclassified non-coding RNA is filed under the name soil metagenome. RNAcentral's name for it is "partial contains 5.8S ribosomal RNA, internal transcribed spacer 2, and large subunit ribosomal RNA". The stretch from base 1 to 120 matches the Rfam family "5.8S ribosomal RNA", at positions 35 to 154 of the family's 154-position model. The record is from RNAcentral.
GAUGAAGAACGUAGCGAAAUGCGAUAAGUAAUGUGAAUUGCAGAAUUCCGUGAAUCAUCGAAUCUUUGAACGCACAUUGCGCCCCCUGGCAUUCCGGGGGGCAUGCCUGUCCGAGCGUCAUUUCUGCCCUCAAGCCCGGCUUGUGUGUUGGGCGUGGUCCCCCCGGUUUAGGGGGGUCCUGCCCGAAAGGCAGCGGCGACGUUCCGCCUAGGUCCUCGAGCGUAUGGGGCUUUGUCACCCGCUCGGGAGGGGCCUACGGGCGUUGGCCAUCCACCAUUUUUUUUUUUACGGUUGACCUCGGAUCAGGUAGGAGUUACCCGCUGAACUUAAGCAUAUCAAUAAGCGGAGGA